Molecule: transfer RNA, 77 nt
Filed under: Candidatus Moraniibacteriota bacterium
Lineage: Bacteria; Candidatus Moraniibacteriota
Description: Candidatus Moranbacteria bacterium (groundwater metagenome) tRNA-Val
Rfam family: tRNA
About the family: Transfer RNA (tRNA) molecules are approximately 80 nucleotides in length. Their secondary structure includes four short double-helical elements and three loops (D, anti-codon, and T loops).
Source: RNAcentral
GGGUGUAUAGCUCAGUUGGUUAGAGCGCUACAUUGACAUUGUAGAGGUCUCCCGUUCGAGUCGGGAUAUACCCACUA